Molecule: long non-coding RNA, 1740 nt
Organism: Apteryx haastii (Great spotted kiwi)
Lineage: Eukaryota; Metazoa; Chordata; Aves; Apterygiformes; Apterygidae
Source: Ensembl
GUUGCACACGCACUGACAUGCAUGCACAGGGGUUGCACGCACUGACAUGCAUGCACAGAGGAUGCACACACACUGACAUGCAUGCAGAAUUGUUGCACACGCACUGACAUGCAUGCACAGGGGCUGCAGAUGCACUGACAUGUAUGCACAGAGGAUGCACACACACUGACAUGCAUGCAGAAUUGUUGCACACACACUGACAUGCAUGCACAGGGGUUGCACACACUUACAUGCAUGCACAGGAGUCGCAUACACUGACAUGCAUGCACAGGGGCUGCAGACGCCCUGGGGUUGCAGACGUGCGCUGUCACACACAGGUGUGCGUGCCCCAAGGCUGCUUGCACACCUCUGCAAUCACGCACGCCAAGGUCCGUCGCACACGGAGAGAAGUGUGUCGGUGACGUGCACAGACGCAUGCGAAUGCACACCCGGACCCGCACACGGGCACGCGCAUUCCCACGCCCAGGCUGCGGGUGCUCCUCGGCCCCGCCGCCCUCACCCCAGGGGGCCCAUGUCACCUGGCCGGUGUUCAUCCUCUUUGUCCCCAAAGCCGCUUAGUGCGGAUCAGCAGCACGGAGGCAUCCGCGCAUGUGCACGCUGCACCCAGCCCUGCGCACACAAGCGCUCACACGUGCACCCUUGCAAAUGCAUAAACGAGCAUGUGCAGCCGUGCCCACCCCCAUAUUGCACACGCCGAAAGGGGCGCGCACCCCUCUGCCCCGCCGCCGCACACCUGGGGAAGCGCUCGUGUCGCACACGCAGCGUGCUGGGGCCCGUGUGUGUGCGCAUGGGGAAUCCCAGGAACGUGCAGCCAGGGGCCGUGGUCACACACGUGCUUGCAAAUUCACACACUGCAGAAGUGUGUCCGCGUGGCAGUGCGGCGUGCGGGUGUGCCGGCAGCUCAGCCGUGCGGCAGCGCAGGGCUGCAGCACUGCAGGCAGUGUGGGGGCAGAGGAGGCAGCGCACCGCUGCGGUAGCACAGUGUAGCUGUCCAGCAGUGCAGUGUCGCCAUGCACCGGUGCACUGGUGCAGUGUAGCCGUGCAGUGUAGCGGGUUGAUGCUGCACUGCAGCCAUGCCAAGCAGCCAGUGCAGUGUGGUUGUGCAGUGCAGCUGAUGCAGCGUGGCUGGUGCAGUGUGGCUGGUGCAGCAUGGCCAGUGCCGUGCAGCCAGUGCAGUGUGGCUGGUGCAGUGCAGCCAGUGCAGCAGAGCCGGUGCCAUGUGGCCAGCACAGCACAGCCGGUACAGCGUGGCUGGUGCCGUGCAGUUGGUGCAGUGUGGCCGUUGCUGUGCGGCUGUUGCCACACAGCUGUUGCAGCACAGCCGGUGCCAUGCGCCUGGUGCAGUGCAGCUGGUGCCGUGCAACCAGUGCAGUGAGGCCGGUGCCGUGCAGCCGGUGCAGCAUGGCCAGUGCAGCGCAGCCAGUGCCAUGUGGCUGUUACCGUGCAGCCAUUGCCAUGCAGCUGGUGCAGGACAGCUGGUGCAGCAUGGCUGGUGCCGUGAAACCAGUGCAGCGCAGCCAGUGCUGUGUGGUCGGUGCAGUGUGGCCAGGGCAGAGCGGCCAGCGCAGUGCAGUGGGUGCAGAGUGGCCAGUGUAGCGCAGCGGGUGCAGUGCACUGGGUGCAGUGUGGCCAGUGCAGCGCAGUGGAUGCAGCACAGUGGGUGCAGCGCAGUGGAUGCAGUGUGGUGGGUGCAGCUCAGGGGGUGCAGCACAGUGGAUGCAGUGUGGCGGGUGCAGUGUG